NCGUCCGUCUUAUUUGAAAAUUUUUUAUGAUUAGUAUUUUUAUUGCUAUUAGAUGAUAAAACAUGAAUAGUACUUUAUGUGUGACUAAAUGUUUUUAAUUUUUUCACAAAUUUUUUAAAUAAGACGGACGG
RNAcentral lists this microRNA precursor (131 nucleotides) under Oryza rufipogon (brownbeard rice). RNAcentral's name for it is "MIR812 microRNA precursor family". It matches the Rfam family "MIR812 microRNA precursor family", at positions 38 to 168 of the family's 205-position model. The record is from Rfam by way of RNAcentral. Lineage: Eukaryota; Viridiplantae; Streptophyta; Magnoliopsida; Poales; Poaceae.